This is a non-coding RNA of Paramuricea clavata, 1931 nucleotides long. The record is from the annotation of a GenBank genome assembly. Lineage: Eukaryota; Metazoa; Cnidaria; Anthozoa; Malacalcyonacea; Plexauridae.
AAGCUACCGGCUGCUCUUCGGGACUUGCCAAGAUUUAGAACGAGGGCGAAACUUACAAGUUGGCAAGUAUAUUUAGCAAAUAUUGCGAUUUUUAAGAAUUAUAUCUUCAUGUAAAGUCAUUUUUUAAGGUAAGAUCAAAGUAUUAUCUACGAUCCUUUUAGUUUAAGAAGAAUUUUCAGGAGAUUUGACGAUUUGUUCUUCUAUUAUAUUUGUAUAGGCUCGCGUUUGAUUUUAUAAAUCUGACAGUGCAUAUUUGGUGUUGGGAAUCAUUGUGUUCACGCUUGUAGCUGAUCAAUAUAUUUAUCAGACACUUCGCGUGUUGGUCACGGUGUGGCAACAGGCAACUCAAAUAAAAUUUGCAUCAAUUGUAAACAAACAAACAGAACACGAGAGCCAAUUGCCAUCAAAACAAACGAGAGCCAUUGUACGAAGGUAUCACGUGACUCAGAGCUACUGUAUAUAUAUAAAACUGCAAAUAUUACAGACCUCUAGUUAAUACUGCUGCUGAUAGAUCAAGUGGCAGUGAUAGAAUAUAUUGCAUUUGGUUUAAUGGGGGUAACAAUUGAGCAAUAUCGUGCCUGAAUUGGUGCACAUUUUAAUACUGUAAUUAUAGUGUGAGAAGCAAUGAUCUAUAUUUUUGGCAUCAGAUGUUCUUUUCUCAAUCAUAUAAAUAUGUUGAUGUGAGCCCCUGUAUAUACCCCCCACCCCAUGUAUAAACCCAUCAACAAACGCUUACGAACUUAUAUAAGCCCAGGGCUUAUAAUCGGAGGUUACGGUAUUUGGUUUGUUUACAAUAUUUGGUAUAAGUGAGAUAUUAAUUUUAAAACAUUGCAUUCACUGUUUUAUUUGGCCAAACAAACUAUUAAAAUUACAUGUCAGUAGUUAAACCUACUUGUUAUUAGAAUGGGUAAUAACCCACAAGUACCCCUUUGUAUCCCUAUGAACCAAGCAUAGUGUGUGCGAGAGAGAGCCUAUGGCUAGUAGGCUGGCCAAAUAUAUAACUUUUUAUUGGUAGAGUAUUGCAAAGUUAUUUCAUUACAACUACUCAAAUACCUCCUACAACCCAUCACUAUGUUAGUACUAUAUUCAGAACAAUUAACAAAUUUGGUUGUGAAUUACCUGCAAAGCAUUGCAGUUGAAAUUUGGUUGUGGAUUACCUGCAAAGCAUUGCAGCUGAAAUUUGGUUGUGGAUUACCUGCAAAGCAUUGCAGCUGAAAUUUGGUUGUGGAUUACCUGCAAAGCAUUGCAGCUGCCACAUGAUGCUGCCACAUGAUUCGUCGUCAAAAUGCUGACGCCAUGGUCCUACCCAGUGCACUUAUGGAGGUCCGCCAUUUUGAAUGUUAUCAGGGGGUGAAUGCCUCUUAGGCUGCAUCCAGACUGGGUGCCCGGCACUUGUGCCUGUCACUUGUUUUGGUGCCUAGUUUGAACAUGAUGCUUCCAAAUGAAAUUGGGCACUGUGCCCAAGAAAGGGCACUACCUUUAGAGGUAGUACUCAACAACGGCACUGUGCUCAACAUGUUUUGUGAACCAUUUUGAACAUUGGGCAUCCGUGCCGGGCACUCAGUCUGAACGAGCCCUUAGCUCACUGGCUAGUACUGAUGUUGAGACGCGAUUGGUAACCAGGCCUUCAUGUCAAACAUAAGGUAAUCAAGGCGCCAACUCUUUCGCAAGUUUGCAAUGCGAAUACACGUACGGCAGCAAUUUCACUAACUUUUUGUUAUACUAGUAUUAAAUGUUGCCAAUGUUUGUCUGAGUCUUGGCGGGGGGUCGAAUUUUCGUGACGUCAAUUGCGGACAACGCUAUUAAUUAUUCCGACUAAUGUCCGACUAGUUACGAAGUCGGGUCCGAAGAUUAAAUAGAUCUUUUCAUAAAUAAAGACGCCAUUUGGAAUCGUAAUGCAUUCUGGUAUAGUUAAAAAGUAAAAAUGGCCG